GACUACAAAGAUUACAUUCCUUCAUUCACUCACUCAGCACACGCUUACUGAGCACCUACUUUGUGCCAGGCACUUGGAAUAUAGCUGUGAACAAAGGAGCCCAGAGACACUGCCCUUGGGAGCUUGCGCUGGUGGAUUGAAGAGCACCCACUCCGGGAGCCCCAGGCCCCCCCGUCCUGCCCAGCACGACCUCCGCCCUCUCGCCAAGGUGUGUGUGGGGGGUGGGCAGCCAGCUUGGACGUCCCAUCCCAGCCACACGCUGAAGACCCUGGAGCAUGCGACAGCAAAGAGCCCCCAGCAAGCCUCGCCUGAGUGCCUCACGCACAGGAUGGUGAGAUAUGAGUAACAGAAGGUUUGUUUUGAGCUAUAAAACUUCUGGAAAGAGUAUCUUACAGAUGACAAGCACAUUAUAUGGGGGAAGCUGGACUGCCAGACACCAAACAACGAGCCUCUUCGACGGUGACGAGCCCUGCCCUGGACAGUAAGGGAAGGCCAGGAAGGGGGAGUGUGGGUGAGCCUGUGAGCGUGUGUGCACGAGUGAUGUUAGUGUGCCCAGGGAAGCACGCACGUGGGGGAAGACAGCUGGGCAAAGACCCAGGUUGCUGAGAAAAUGCACUGAUCUGGAAGGGAGUCCCAGGAGAGGAAAGAGCUGGUGCAAAGGUUCCGCACCAGGGGCGCACCUGACUUGACCCUGGGGCCGGCGGGGCUGGCGUGGGGCGGCCGCAGCCCGCUUGCCCACACAGCACCUCCCUCCCCAGCAGCCGGCUUGCACGACAGUCCCAUCACCCGCCUGCAGGUCUCACCCGCUAUGAGCAGUGACCAUCCCCUACCAGCAGCGUUCCCGUUCCACAGACUGGGAAACUGAGGUCCAGAGAACGCUGAGCCCAGAGGCCCGCAGCUUCGUUGGGAGAGCUGAGAGGUCUCUCUGUAACUGCAGCCUCCUCUCCUCUCCCUUCCUUCCAGAACGCCUCACCCGCACCCUGCUCCCUGGCUCCAGCAUUCUCCCCUGGGGCCUGCCCUGCCUGCUGAAAAGCUGCCCCAGGCGGACCCUCCAAGGGAGCCCCCAAGGCUCAACCUGAGAACCCCCACCCCCGUUCCUGUGCUGAAAAUGUAAGGCCAUCUGGUCCACUCAGGAGGUGGGCAGUCGGGGGUGGCUCUGAGGCGUGAGAAGUCAGAGGAAGGCACUUACACAGACUGAGCACCUCCCAGGACGGGGGCCGCCCCCUGGGAGGUGAGACCCACUGUUACUGGCGCUGAGUGGGCACUGACUGUGUGCCAGGCCGUGCUGGCUCUGUCAUCUCAGGGACCCUCACCCCUCUGAGGUCAGCGCCGUGAUGUCCCAACUCACAGAUGGGGAAACUCUUGGCCCAGGGUCUUCCCGUGAGGAGGCCGUGGCGGGCGCCACGGGCCGCAGCUCGCAGCAGAGAGCCCCGAGCAGCUUCCUAAUGUCAAGCACAAAUGCCACCCCCGAGGUGAGGCUCCCACCCGCGGCGGGCUUCCGCCGCCACCGUAGGCCCCAGACGAAAAGACAGGAGACCUUCCAGAACUCUCCAAGUCAUGCCACGAAAAGGACCUCCUCCUCCUCCGCAGCCAGGCCUGGGCGAGCCCACAGGGAGCCGAGCAUGAAAACAAAGCAGGGCAGGCGGGCCGAGGGCCCCAGCUCCCCAGAGUCUCAGCAGUACCUGCGCAGCCGGGACGGGAGCCGCAGCCCGUGGAGGCAGGUGGGCCCCCGGCCGCCGACUCUUCCCCGAGCUCCGCCGCAGCUGCUGUGGCCGGAGCGUGUGCCCGCCCAGAGGACCGCACCGGGGACCGCGCUCCGCGGGAGGGCCAGGCGGGCCCCUGCGGAGAGGCCUCUGCUCGGGGCGCGGCCUUGGACCUUCUCCUAACCCGAGGUUGGGCCGGGGCCGGGGCUGGGCUGGGCUGGGGGCCCCCGCGCUCACUUCACUCCCUGUGGCACCGCGGCCUGGUUUCAACCCCGCAAAUAAAAAUGCCUUACAUGCUUUUUUAAAAAAACUACUUAAAAGGAAAAAGAAGGUCAUGAUGUGGCACUUCAAAGCACAGU
This is a long non-coding RNA of Camelus dromedarius (Arabian camel), 2062 nucleotides long. RefSeq lists it as uncharacterized. NCBI's taxonomy places the organism in Eukaryota, Metazoa, Chordata, Mammalia, Artiodactyla, Camelidae. The record is from RefSeq and is a predicted model, not a curated record. The transcript is spliced from 3 exons.